This 253-nucleotide ribosomal RNA is filed under the name uncultured bacterium. RNAcentral describes it as "partial 16S ribosomal RNA". It matches the Rfam family "Bacterial small subunit ribosomal RNA", at positions 524 to 776 of the family's 1533-position model. The record is from RNAcentral.
UACGAAGGGGGCUAGCGUUGCUCGGAAUCACUGGGCGUAAAGCGCACGUAGGCGGUUUCUUAAGUCAGGGGUGAAAUCCUGGAGCUCAACUCCAGAACUGCCUUUGAUACUGGGAGACUCGAGUCCGGAAGAGGUGAGUGGAAUUCCUGGUGUAGCGGUGAAAUGCGCAGAUAUCGUGAGGAAGACCAGUGGCGAAGGCGGAUCUCUGGACAGUUCCUGACGCUGAGGCGCGAAGGCCAGGGGAGCAAACGGG